AUUGAACGCUGGCGGUAGGCCUAACACAUGCAAGUCGAGCGGAUGAAGGGAGCUUGCUCCUGGAUUCAGCGGCGGACGGGUGAGUAAUUCCUAGGAAUCUGCCUGGCAGUGGGGGAUAACGUCCGGAAACGGGCGCUAAUACCGCAUACGUCCUGAGGGAGAAAGUGGGGGAGCUUCGGACCUCACGCCAUCACAUGAGCCUAGGUCGGAUUAGCUAGUUGGUGGGGUAAAGGCCUACCAAGGCGACGAUCCGUAACUGGUCUGAGAGGAUGAUCAGUCACACUGGAACUGAGACACGGUCCAGACUCCUACGGGAGGCAGCAGUGGGGAAUAUUGGACAAUGGGCGCAAGCCUGAUCCAGCCAUACCGCGUGGGUGAAGAAGGUCUUCGGAUUGUAAAGCACUUUAAGUUGGAAGGAAGGGCAGUAAGUUAAUACCUUGCUGUUUUGACGUUACCAAAAGAAUAAGCACCGGCUAACUUCGUG
RNAcentral lists this ribosomal RNA (484 nucleotides) under uncultured bacterium. RNAcentral describes it as "partial 16S ribosomal RNA". It matches the Rfam family "Bacterial small subunit ribosomal RNA", at positions 30 to 507 of the family's 1533-position model. The record is from RNAcentral.